RNAcentral lists this ribosomal RNA (229 nucleotides) under uncultured bacterium. RNAcentral describes it as "partial 16S ribosomal RNA". It matches the Rfam family "Bacterial small subunit ribosomal RNA", at positions 568 to 796 of the family's 1533-position model. The record is from RNAcentral.
UGCGUAGGCGGGGCAAUUAGUCAGUGGUGAAAUCCUGCGGCUUAACCGUAGAACUGCCAUUGAUACUGUUGUCCUUGAGUAUAGUUGAGGUGGGCGGAAUGUGUAAUGUAGCGGUGAAAUGCAUAGAGAUUACACAGAACACCAAUUGCGAAGGCAGCUCACUAAGCUAUAACUGACGCUGAGACACGAAAGCGUGGGGAGCGAACAGGAUUAGAUACCCUGGUAGUCC